CGCCUUUUAGCGCAGUCGAAGGAAGUUGGAAAAGUCGGCAAACAUCCACGUCGCAGUCGCGAGUCGGCAAAAAGUGAAAGGGAAGUCCACGCACGCACGCACGCACGCACGCGCGCACGCACAAAAGAAGUGUGACUUAGGACGACUCGUCUCGUGAAGGCUAUGUGGUGGCAGCCUCAGUCGCGACAUGCCAAAGCACACGUCAACUGCUUCAUAGUUGUUGUUGUUUUAAAAGCUUUUAAGAAAUGUUUUGGGUCAUUUUCAUGUCGGAAGGCUGAUCCGUGACCCAUUUUCACUGAUCUUGCUGAGAAAAGGAACUUUUUCAUCCAGGAUUUGACACUACGUCGCUCCGUUCAGCGGCCCCUUGGAUCCACAAGCUGACGAUUGCGAGACCGCCAAAAAAAUAUUUACAGUGUAUCAAAAGAUUUUUUUCAAUCGAGCGAUAAAUUUAAAUCCAUUGUAUGGCUAAAUGGAUUAAAAUGGCUUUCCACAUGA
Phyllopteryx taeniolatus (common seadragon) is the source of this 495-nucleotide long non-coding RNA. RefSeq lists it as uncharacterized. The transcript has 3 exons. The record is from RefSeq and is a predicted model, not a curated record. Lineage: Eukaryota; Metazoa; Chordata; Actinopteri; Syngnathiformes; Syngnathidae.